This 626-nucleotide long non-coding RNA is filed under the name Rattus norvegicus (Norway rat). Its description in RNAcentral is "long non-coding RNA NONRATT011296". The record is from RNAcentral. Lineage: Eukaryota; Metazoa; Chordata; Mammalia; Rodentia; Muridae.
CGGCCAUCAGCGGGAGGCGGGACGAGCCGGAGACCGCGUCCUCUACCGAGCAGGAUCAGUCUUCAACUGGCCAAUUUUGCCAUUUGGCAAAGAGAAAAAUCACUGGGCAAGUUACUGCCUUGCAGUUCAAGAAAAUCCCAUGUUACCACUAUGAGAAGGAUUUUCUUUCCAAAGCGGUACGUCCUUAAGCAAGUGAUUCGGAGUAGCAGACAAAGCAGAAAACAGUGAAAGCCGUGUGCGGGACUCUGACAGGGAGACUUCUUUAUGGCUGCCCUGUGGGUGACACAGCAGAUGCUAGAAUUCCAAACCGCCCCAAAUAAAAACUGAAGAAUAUCGGCUAGGAAGCUGCCCUGCGUUCGGGAGCCUCAGGACCAUCGCGGCUGUCCUAGAGGGCUGACCUGCAAUGCUAUGUAUGUAAGAAGACUCGAGCAAAGCAUCAUCAAAUAUAUCGCAGAAUUGUGUCCAAAUUUCAGCCCAGUUCCUGCGGCGCAGGAUUUACGGUCUGCAUUAUGUCUGGAGCCCGCACUGCGCAUGCGCUCGUCUUCCUCCUCGGCUGUUCUGCGCUUGCGUUGGGCGUCUGCUCAGCCUCCCUGGAGCACGGCGAGGCUGAGUACUACGUGGCUGCC